This 497-nucleotide ribosomal RNA is filed under the name uncultured bacterium. RNAcentral describes it as "partial 16S ribosomal RNA". It matches the Rfam family "Bacterial small subunit ribosomal RNA", at positions 28 to 507 of the family's 1533-position model. The record is from RNAcentral.
GAUGAACGCUGGCGGCGUGCCUAAUACAUGCAAGUCGAGCGAACAGACGAGGAGCUUGCUCCUCUGACGUUAGCGGCGGACGGGUGAGUAACACGUGGAUAACCUACCUAUAAGACUGGGAUAACUUCGGGAAACCGGAGCUAAUACCGGAUAAUAUAUUGAACCGCAUGGUUCAAUAGUGAAAGACGGUUUUGCUGUCACUUAUAGAUGGAUCCGCGCCGCAUUAGCUAGUUGGUAAGGUAACGGCUUACCAAGGCAACGAUGCGUAGCCGACCUGAGAGGGUGAUCGGCCACACGGGAACGGAGACCCGGUCCAGACUCCUACGGGAGGCAGCAGUAGGGAAUCUUCCGCAAUGGGCGAAAGCCUGACGGAGCAACGCCGCGUGAGGGAUGAAGGUCUCCGGAUGGUAAAACUCUGUUAUUAGGGAAGAACAAAUGUGUAAGUAAAUAUGCACGUCUUGACGGUACCUAAUCAGAAAGCCACGGCUAACUACGUG